AGCCGGGGCGGUAUCAUUUAC
Molecule: ribosomal RNA, 21 nt
Filed under: Fusarium sp. Utah 1
Lineage: Eukaryota; Fungi; Ascomycota; Sordariomycetes; Hypocreales; Nectriaceae
Description: partial 18S ribosomal RNA
Source: RNAcentral